GACGAACGCUGGCGGCGUGCCUAAUACAUGCAAGUAGAACGCUGAAGAGAGGAGCUUGCUCUUCUUGGAUGAGUUGCGAACGGGUGAGUAACGCGUAGGUAACCUGCCUUGUAGCGGGGGAUAACUAUUGGAAACGAUAGCUAAUACCGCAUAACAAUGGCUGACACAUGUCAUUUAUUUGAAAGGGGCAAUUGCUCCACUACAAGAUGGACCUGCGUUGUAUUAGCUAGUAGGUGAGGUAAUGGCUCACCUAGGCGACGAUACAUAGCCGACCUGAGAGGGUGAUCGGCCACACUGGGACUGAGACACGGCCCAGACGCCUACGGGAGGCAGCAGUAGGGAAUCUUCGGCAAGGGGGGCAACCCUGACCGAGCAACGCCGCGUGAGUGAAGAAGGUUUUCGGAUCGUAAAGCUCUGUUGUAAGUCAAGAACGGGUGUGAGAGUGGAAAGUUCACACUGUGACGGUAGCUUACCAGAAAGGGACGGCUAACUACGUG
RNAcentral lists this ribosomal RNA (497 nucleotides) under uncultured bacterium. RNAcentral describes it as "partial 16S ribosomal RNA". It matches the Rfam family "Bacterial small subunit ribosomal RNA", at positions 28 to 507 of the family's 1533-position model. The record is from RNAcentral.